This 2900-nucleotide ribosomal RNA is filed under the name Klebsiella pneumoniae. Its description in RNAcentral is "bacterial LSU rRNA". It matches the Rfam family "Bacterial large subunit ribosomal RNA". The record is from RNAcentral. Lineage: Bacteria; Pseudomonadati; Pseudomonadota; Gammaproteobacteria; Enterobacterales; Enterobacteriaceae.
UUAAGCGACUAAGCGUACACGGUGGAUGCCCUGGCAGUCAGAGGCGAUGAAGGACGUGCUAAUCUGCGAAAAGCGUCGGUAAGGUGAUAUGAACCGUUAUAGCCGGCGAUGUCCGAAUGGGGAAACCCAGUGCAAUUCGUUGCACUAUCGUUAACUGAAUACAUAGGUUAACGAGGCGAACCGGGGGAACUGAAACAUCUAAGUACCCCGAGGAAAAGAAAUCAACCGAGAUUCCCCCAGUAGCGGCGAGCGAACGGGGAGCAGCCCAGAGUCUGAAUCAGCUUGUGUGUUAGUGGAACGGUCUGGAAAGUCCGACGGUACAGGGUGAUAGUCCCGUACACCAAAAUGCACAGGCUGUGAACUCGAAGAGUAGGGCGGGACACGUGGUAUCCUGUCUGAAUAUGGGGGGACCAUCCUCCAAGGCUAAAUACUCCUGACUGACCGAUAGUGAACCAGUACCGUGAGGGAAAGGCGAAAAGAACCCCGGCGAGGGGAGUGAAAAAGAACCUGAAACCGUGUACGUACAAGCAGUGGGAGCACCUUCGGGUGUGACUGCGUACCUUUUGUAUAAUGGGUCAGCGACUUAUAUUCUGUAGCAAGGUUAACCGUAUAGGGGAGCCGCAGGGAAACCGAGUCUUAACUGGGCGUUAAGUUGCAGGGUAUAGACCCGAAACCCGGUGAUCUAGCCAUGGGCAGGUUGAAGGUUGGGUAACACUAACUGGAGGACCGAACCGACUAAUGUUGAAAAAUUAGCGGAUGACUUGUGGCUGGGGGUGAAAGGCCAAUCAAACCGGGAGAUAGCUGGUUCUCCCCGAAAGCUAUUUAGGUAGCGCCUCGUGAAUUCAUCUUCGGGGGUAGAGCACUGUUUCGGCUAGGGGGUCAUCCCGACUUACCAACCCGAUGCAAACUACGAAUACCGAAGAAUGUUAUCACGGGAGACACACGGCGGGUGCUAACGUCCGUCGUGAAGAGGGAAACAACCCAGACCGCCAGCUAAGGUCCCAAAGUCAUGGUUAAGUGGGAAACGAUGUGGGAAGGCACAGACAGCCAGGAUGUUGGCUUAGAAGCAGCCAUCAUUUAAAGAAAGCGUAAUAGCUCACUGGUCGAGUCGGCCUGCGCGGAAGAUGUAACGGGGCUAAACCAUGCACCGAAGCUGCGGCAGCGACACUAUGUGUUGUUGGGUAGGGGAGCGUUCUGUAAGCCUGCGAAGGUGACCUGUGAGGGUUGCUGGAGGUAUCAGAAGUGCGAAUGCUGACAUAAGUAACGAUAAAGCGGGUGAAAAGCCCGCUCGCCGGAAGACCAAGGGUUCCUGUCCAACGUUAAUCGGGGCAGGGUGAGUCGACCCCUAAGGCGAGGCCGAAAGGCGUAGUCGAUGGGAAACAGGUUAAUAUUCCUGUACUUGGUGUUACUGCGAAGGGGGGACGGAGAAGGCUAUGUUAGCCGGGCGACGGUUGUCCCGGUUUAAGCAUGUAGGCUGGUUGUCCAGGCAAAUCCGGAUAAUCAAGGCUGAGGUGUGAUGACGAGGCACUACGGUGCUGAAGUAACAAAUGCCCUGCUUCCAGGAAAAGCCUCUAAGCAUCAGGUAACAUCAAAUCGUACCCCAAACCGACACAGGUGGUCAGGUAGAGAAUACCAAGGCGCUUGAGAGAACUCGGGUGAAGGAACUAGGCAAAAUGGUGCCGUAACUUCGGGAGAAGGCACGCUGGUGUGUAGGUGAAGUCCCUGCGGAUGGAGCUGAGACCAGUCGAAGAUACCAGCUGGCUGCAACUGUUUAUUAAAAACACAGCACUGUGCAAACACGAAAGUGGACGUAUACGGUGUGACGCCUGCCCGGUGCCGGAAGGUUAAUUGAUGGGGUUAUCCGUAAGGAGAAGCUCUUGAUCGAAGCCCCGGUAAACGGCGGCCGUAACUAUAACGGUCCUAAGGUAGCGAAAUUCCUUGUCGGGUAAGUUCCGACCUGCACGAAUGGCGUAAUGAUGGCCAGGCUGUCUCCACCCGAGACUCAGUGAAAUUGAACUCGCUGUGAAGAUGCAGUGUACCCGCGGCAAGACGGAAAGACCCCGUGAACCUUUACUAUAGCUUGACACUGAACAUUGAGCCUUGAUGUGUAGGAUAGGUGGGAGGCUUUGAAGCGUGGACGCCAGUCUGCGUGGAGCCAACCUUGAAAUACCACCCUUUAAUGUUUGAUGUUCUAACGUUGGCCCCUUACCGGGGUUGCGGACAGUGUCUGGUGGGUAGUUUGACUGGGGCGGUCUCCUCCCAAAGCGUAACGGAGGAGCACGAAGGUUAGCUAAUCCUGGUCGGACAUCAGGAGGUUAGUGCAAUGGCAUAAGCUAGCUUGACUGCGAGCGUGACGGCGCGAGCAGGUGCGAAAGCAGGUCAUAGUGAUCCGGUGGUUCUGAAUGGAAGGGCCAUCGCUCAACGGAUAAAAGGUACUCCGGGGAUAACAGGCUGAUACCGCCCAAGAGUUCAUAUCGACGGCGGUGUUUGGCACCUCGAUGUCGGCUCAUCACAUCCUGGGGCUGAAGUAGGUCCCAAGGGUAUGGCUGUUCGCCAUUUAAAGUGGUACGCGAGCUGGGUUUAGAACGUCGUGAGACAGUUCGGUCCCUAUCUGCCGUGGGCGCUGGAGAAUUGAGGGGGGCUGCUCCUAGUACGAGAGGACCGGAGUGGACGCAUCACUGGUGUUCGGGUUGUCAUGCCAAUGGCACUGCCCGGUAGCUAAAUGCGGAAGAGAUAAGUGCUGAAAGCAUCUAAGCACGAAACUUGCCCCGAGAUGAGUUCUCCCUGAGACUUUAAGUCUCCUGAAGGAACGUUGAAGACGACGACGUUGAUAGGCCGGGUGUGUAAGCGCAGCGAUGCGUUGAGCUAACCGGUACUAAUGAACCGUGAGGCUUAACCUU